AUGGUCGAUGCAGUGGGCACCGUGACCAAGAUUGUGGAAGUUGCACUAAAGAUCAAGAAGGCUGCAGACACGGUGAAGCAGAAUGAAGAUGCCUGCAAGCAAAUAAAAAGCCGCGUGGAGAUACUCAGUACUACGUUGUCGCAGCACCAGAAUAACACAGAGCUAAUGAACAACUCGGCAGUGAGGCUCGCACUUGAUGCGCUGGCCGAUAUCCUUGGUGAGGCCUUGAAGCUCGUCACCGACUGCCAGGAGGAGGACACCAACUUCCCGUGCCUUCUCUACAGUUCCGGGAAACUGUCCCAAGAGUUAAUGAAGGUGGAGCAACAUAUAUCCAAUAAGAACAUGGAUGCGACGUUGGCCAUCAUUGCUUUCCUUUUACCUAAACCAAUUGGUCCAGUCAGUUUACCUCCAGCUCAACAGGUAUGA
This 426-nucleotide ribosomal RNA is filed under the name Triticum aestivum (bread wheat). Its description in RNAcentral is "partial small subunit ribosomal RNA". The record is from RNAcentral. Lineage: Eukaryota; Viridiplantae; Streptophyta; Magnoliopsida; Poales; Poaceae.